GCUCAGUAACACGUGGAUAACCUACCCUUAGGACUGGGAUAACCUUGGGAAACUGAGGAUAAUACUGGAUAGGCAAUUUUUCCUGUAAUGGUUUUUUGUUUAAAUGUUUUUUCGCCUAAGGAUGGGUCUGCGGCCGAUUAGGUAGUUGGUUAGGUAAUGGCUUACCAAGCCGUUGAUCGGUACGGGUUGUGAGAGCAAGAGCCCGGGGAUGGAACCUGAGACAAGGUUCCAGGCCCUACGGGGUGCAGCAGGCGCGAAACCUCCGCAAUGUGAGAAAUCGCGACGGGGGGAUCCCAAGUGCCAUUCUUAACGGGAUGGCUUUUCAUUAGUGUAAAGAGCUUUUGGAAUAAGGGCUGGGCAAGACCGGUGCCAGCCGCCGCGGUAACACCGGCAGCUCUAGUGGUAGCAGUUUUUAUUGGGCCUAAAGCGUCCGUAGCCGGUUUAAUAAGUCUCUGGUGAAAUCCUGUAGCUUAACUGUGGGAAUUGCUGGAGAUACUAUUAGACUUGAGACCGGGAGAGGUUAGAGGUACUCCCAGGGUAGAGGUGAAAUUCUGUAAUCCUGGGAGGACCGCCUGUUGCGAAGGCGGCUAACUGGAACGAACCUGACGGUGAGGGACGAAAGCUAGGGGCGCGAACCGGAUUAGAUACCCGGGUAGUCCUAGCCGUAAACGAUGCGGACUUGGUGUUGGGGUGGCUUUGAGCUGUUUCGGUGCCGUAGGGAAGCUGUUAAGUCCGCCGCCUGGGAAGUACGGUCGCAAGACUGAAACUUAAAGGAAUUGGCGGGGGAGCAC
This 791-nucleotide ribosomal RNA is filed under the name uncultured archaeon. RNAcentral describes it as "bacterial SSU rRNA". It matches the Rfam family "Archaeal small subunit ribosomal RNA", at positions 88 to 879 of the family's 1478-position model. The record is from RNAcentral.